GCGUGUCACACCAUCGCACUUUGGCGUGUUAGACCAUCGCACUUUGGCGCAUGAGUGUGGAUCAUCGCACUUUGGCGUGUCACACCAUCGGGGUUUGGCACAGACCAUCGGGGUUUGGCGUGACCAUCGCAUUUUGGAGUCCCAUCGCACUUUUUGGAGUCUUACAUAUUUCGUGCUAUCUCGCUGCCAUCUACAACACAUUUUCAAAAGUGUGGCAAUUUGUCCCAGACAAAUUUGUUCCAGCAAUUAAUCUUUUGAAAAAAAAAGUCAACAUUUAUAUAAAGUCUGGUUUAUGCAAACGAGGUUAUCUCUUACAAAUGCUAUCAAUUGAGAGGUCUUCACUUUUGCAGUAUAGGGAGGAAACCAAAGGCUGUAGAGUGCCUCUUGUCACCACUUACCAUCUUACCUUGAAGGCCUUAAACAAAAUUCCAUAUGAUAACCUUCCUAAUCUUUGAAUAAUCCUAGAUUGGUAAGAUAAUCCAUCAAACCACUAAUGCUGGCCUUUAGAUAACCCAGGAAUAUCAGAGAUUUGGUGAUAAGGACUAGAUCAAUGUUCGUUAUCUUCACCUUUCAUUGGACAAUCCUCUACCCAAUGGAAGCUUUUCAACAUGCUCUGGCAGACUUGGCUGCAAAUAAAGUGUCGGAGUUCGCUUAGUUUAUAUUGACCAAUUAAUUCGUAGACUCGUUUGCCACCUGUCCGGGAUACAUGGAAAUGGUGAUACGGAUCAACAUCCAGAUGGAUAUGCAUCGGGAGUGGUAUUUUGGAGUCAUCGUGGUUUCUGGGCUUCCCUCUCUUAUCUUGGGCCAGAUGGUGUACACCUGGAUUGCACCCCUUCCCACAACCAACCUAUGAGGAAUUAUCUUCGGAGUAUAAGCAAUGCUGUAAUUCAGGCUCCAAAAUUCCUCAGGCCAGUAUAUUUUUUGAUUUUGCACGGAAUUGUAUAUAUUUUCCGUUAUGUGUAUAUAUAAUAUUUUAAUAUACACUGACCUAAGCUUAAUUUCAAGCAAAGCAUUCACAGGUGCAUAUCAGAUCAACAUCCGUUGAAUUGUAUUUGACAUGUAUACUACACCUUGGUAAAAUGGUAUCUAUGUUCUAUUGAUUGACUCUUGUAAUUAUCAUGUUGAACAUCCACAUGCAGGUACUAUUUGCUUUCUGUUCAACAAACAAGUCAUAUGCAUAAUGGCAUUUAAAUGCGUCUUGUGCAAUAGAUUGAUACAUAGUCUGUCUCUAUUUUAUUGCGGUCCAAUAGAAUCCUAACAGCAUAUUCUAUUCAAUGCAUAUGGGAUCUUUCUUGUACAUAUAUGGGUCAGUUAUUAGGUACCUAUACAUAGUAAUCGUGCGAAUUAGAGUUUUACUCACUAUUUGCAAGCGGGUCAAAGUUGCUCAUAAUUUUAUGUGGGUUUGAGUUAACCCAUAAAUUUCUGUGGGCUGGAGUUACCCAUAUUUUCUUUUGAGUCGGAGUUACCCAUGUUUUUUAGUUGGGUCGGAGUUAUCUUUAUUAGCUCAUUGGGUCAGAGUUACCCGUAUUUAUAUUUUUGGGUCAGAGUUACCCAUAUUUACAUUUUGGGUCGCAGUUACCCAUGUGUAUAUUUUGAGUCGGAGUUACCCAUAUUUAUAUUUUGGGUCGGUGUUACCCAUAUUUACAUUUUGGGUCGGAGUUACCUAGAUUUACAUUUUGUUUGGAGUUACCAAGCUUUACAUUUUAGGUCGGAGUUACCCAGAUUUACAUAUAAUGGGUCAGAAUCAUAUAUUUUAUGUAGAGUAUCCCAGGGAUUGAUUUCACCUUUAGAUUUCAUUUAAUAGUGGUAAACCAUCUCUCUUGAUGUUUGUCACCCUGUUUGGAGUGUAUAUUUCAUGAUUGAGAAUUUAUACAAUUUUAAAACCUUUGUUAUAAGAAAUGUUUACAGGUUAGGCACAAUUUAUUGUCAUUACCUAUUUUAAUUUGUGUCGUUUUACCUUAUUUCUUAAUGAAACUAAUAAUUCAGUUCAAAAUCACAAUGCCCAUGUGGUCUACCGAUAUUGCAUUAAGCAAAUAUUAUUAUCAUUAUCCUUUUAUAUCAGUUCAAGUUUCUUAUGCAUAGUAAAUCCUUAUUCUACGUUGACAUUUGUGUGUAUGGCAAUUAUUACAUACUCACACUUCAUCAGUUUAUCAUGCAUCUUGUGCAUUACAUAUGUAGGUGUAUACUAUGUAUUUCUAUACUGAUUUGACGUUUCUAGUGGCAAAUUGGUUGCUAAAUAAUGCCAUCUUUCAUAAAUAUUUGACAAUUUGCUGUAGAAUGUUUAUUGUUACAGGAACAAUGCCACCCAAGUCCAGACAGCGCCUGUCAACGAAGCGCAGGAGAGUUAACUCUCCAGGUAGCUCAGAAGCUCCCAAUUUAUCAUGUUCAAGCAAGUUCAAGUGCAGUGGAUACUUUAGCCACACAAUUAACUUAUGCAGAAUUAGCUAAGAAUAUAGUUGUCCAACAGCGACAACAAGGAACAUAAAUUCAGCAGGAGGCAUCAGAAACUAUAAGUGACAUUACACCCGCGAGCCCCUCUAUGGUAAUUCGCAGUCAGGGAAAUCAGGAUGUGUUGGCCUCCAACUUAAGUUCCUUGUUAGACAAUGUUUUUACAGGUGAAGAACCACUGGCCAAAGCUGGUAAAAUAGAGGUCAACCAGGCAUCCAACAAUAAAACACCACUAGGCAUUAAUCAGUGGACAGAUGCUAUUUUAAUCUUUGAAUCAAUUUACUUGCAAACGUUCCCUACUUAUGCCUGCAAUAUUCUUGAAUAUGCUUUCGUGAAAAUAAGCAGGCUCCAUGUUAAUCAAGCAUGGAGAAACUAUGAUGAAUCCUUUCGUCGUUCCAGGGAAUCUUCAGUUAGUCCCUGGGAAAGGCCAAUUGCUAUAAUGCGCCUGAAGGCAGCAUCAAUGGGAGUACGUCAACCCCAAACUUAUAAAGCUAAUAAGGGGCAGUCUUUUCGUUCCACCAAAGUUUCGCCUACAAUAAAGGUCAGCGAUGUAACACCUAUCCCUGCAAGUACGCUCAUUUAUGUCAAGAGUGCAAUGGCCAACAUCCCAAAUGUAAGUGCACAGGGGCAAAAUCAAACUGGUCAACCUCCCACCCCAGUCAAACAUUGCAAAUGCCAGUCCUUCCAAACCCAAUAAACCCGGUAAAUUUGCAAAGUCAGCUCCAGGCUAUGACCCUCUUAAACUUAACUAUCUGAUUGAAGGCGUUAGGUGUGGUUUUCGACUUGGUUGUUCAAAGUCACCAUCAAUUCAUCCUCCUUCACUGUUCGUUAUCUUCACCUCUCAUUAUGGUCAACAAACAUUUUAAACGUGAUAGAGUUUAAUAAUAAUAAUAAAUUAUUUCUGCAGUCUUUAAAUGUUAGCAUCUUCUUUCAAUUUUAUUAAUUGAAUUAUAAAACACACACUUAACCAAAUGUACACAUACUUUAUUAUGAUAUCAGUGGUGUAUAUAUCAAAGUCAUGUAAUUACAUUUAUACUAUUAAAUAAACAUUAUAGA
This is a long non-coding RNA of Ostrea edulis (European flat oyster), 3504 nucleotides long. RefSeq lists it as uncharacterized. The transcript has 3 exons. The record is from RefSeq and is a predicted model, not a curated record. NCBI's taxonomy places the organism in Eukaryota, Metazoa, Mollusca, Bivalvia, Ostreida, Ostreidae.